RNAcentral lists this ribosomal RNA (482 nucleotides) under uncultured bacterium. Its description in RNAcentral is "partial 16S ribosomal RNA". It matches the Rfam family "Bacterial small subunit ribosomal RNA", at positions 30 to 507 of the family's 1533-position model. The record is from RNAcentral.
AUUGAACGCUGGCGGCAUGCCUUACACAUGCAAGUCGAACGGUAACGGGCUUUCGGGUGCCGACGAGUGGCGAACGGGUGAGUAAUACAACGGAACGUUCCCGAUCGUGGGGGUUAACGAGGCGAAAGCUUUACUAAUACCGCACACGAUCUACGGAUGACAGCAAGGGACCGCAAGGCCUUGCGCGGACCGAGCGGCCGAUGGCAGAUUAGGUAGUUUGUGGGAUACAAGCUUACCAAGCCGACGAUCUGUAGCUGGUCUGAGAGGAUGAUAAGCCACACUGGGACUGAGACAGGGCCCAGACUCCUACGGGAGGCAACAGUAGGGAAUGUUGGACAAUUGGCGCAAGCCUGAUCCAGCCGUGCGGCGUGGAGUAUGAAGGCCUUCGGGUUGUAAACUGCUUUUGUGCGGAACGAAAAGACUUCUUUUAAUACAGGAGGGUCAUGACGGUACCGUAAGAAUAAGCACCGGCUAACUACGUG